GCCUAGAUGGCUCAGUUGGUUGGGUGGCUGACUUCGGCUCAGGUCAUGAUCUCGCAGUUUGUGGGUUCGAGCCCCACGUUGGGCU
Molecule: transfer RNA, 85 nt
Filed under: Felis catus (domestic cat)
Lineage: Eukaryota; Metazoa; Chordata; Mammalia; Carnivora; Felidae
Rfam family: tRNA
About the family: Transfer RNA (tRNA) molecules are approximately 80 nucleotides in length.
Source: Rfam by way of RNAcentral